UACAGAGGGGGCAAGCGUUGUUCGGAAUUACUGGGCGUAAAGGGCUCGUAGGCGGCCAACUAAGUCAGACGUGAAAUCCCUCGGCUUAACCGGGGAACUGCAUCUGAUACUGGAUGGCUUGAGUUCGGGAGAGGGAUGUGGAAUUCCAGGUGUAGCGGUGAAAUGCGUAGAUAUCUGGAGGAACACCGGUGGCGAAGGCGGCAUCCUGGACCGACACUGACGCUGAGGAGCGAAAGCCAGGGGGGCAAACGGG
RNAcentral lists this ribosomal RNA (253 nucleotides) under uncultured bacterium. RNAcentral's name for it is "partial 16S ribosomal RNA". It matches the Rfam family "Bacterial small subunit ribosomal RNA", at positions 524 to 776 of the family's 1533-position model. The record is from RNAcentral.